AAAGGGCUGCAGUAUUUUGACUGUACAAAGGUAGCAUAAUCAAUAGUCUUUUAAUUGAUGACUUGAAUGAAAGAUUGGAUGAAAUAUAAACUGUCUCUUGUUUAUAGUAAGAAAUUAAUUUUUUAAUUAAAAAGUUAAAAUAAAUUUAAAAGACGAGAAGACCCUAUAGAGUUUUAUAUUUAAAUUAAAUAAAGUUAUUUUUUAUAAUAAUAAUAAAAAUUAAUUUAAGUAUUUUGUUGGGGUGAUAAAAAAAUAAAAAUAACUUUUUUUAAUUUAAAACAAUAAUAAUUGAAUAAUUGAUCCAAAAAUUUUGAUUAAAAGAGUAAAUUACCUUAGGGAUAACAGCGUAAUUUUUUUUUUUAGUUCAAAUAAAAAAAAGAGUUUGCGACCUCGAUGUUGGAUUAAAAUAAAAUUUAUAUGCAAAAGUAUAAAA
Molecule: ribosomal RNA, 433 nt
Filed under: Spinosuncus praepandalis
Lineage: Eukaryota; Metazoa; Arthropoda; Insecta; Lepidoptera; Crambidae
Description: partial 16S ribosomal RNA
Source: RNAcentral